UACGUAGGGUGCGAGCGUUGUCCGGAAUUACUGGGCGUAAAGAGCUCGUAGGCGGUUUGUCGCGUCGUCCGUGAAAACUUGGGGCUCAACCCCAAGCUUGCGGGCGAUACGGGCAGACUUGAGUACUGCAGGGGAGACUGGAAUUCCUGGUGUAGCGGUGAAAUGCGUAGAUAUCCGGAGGAACACCGGUGGCGAAGGCGGCUUCCUGGACCGACACUGACGCUGAGGCGCGAAAGCGCGGGGAGCGAACAGG
RNAcentral lists this ribosomal RNA (253 nucleotides) under uncultured bacterium. Its description in RNAcentral is "partial 16S ribosomal RNA". It matches the Rfam family "Bacterial small subunit ribosomal RNA", at positions 524 to 776 of the family's 1533-position model. The record is from RNAcentral.